Molecule: ribosomal RNA, 253 nt
Filed under: uncultured bacterium
Lineage: Bacteria
Description: partial 16S ribosomal RNA
Rfam family: Bacterial small subunit ribosomal RNA
Source: RNAcentral
UACGUAGGGUGCAAGCGUUGUCCGGAAUUAUUGGGCGUAAAGAGCUCGUAGGCGGUUUGUUGCGUCGGCUGUGAAAACCUGAGGCUCAACCUCAGGCCUGCAGUCGAUACGAGCAGGCUAGAGUGUUGCAGGGGAGACUGGAAUUCCUGGUGUAGCGGUGAAAUGCGCAGAUAUCAGGAGGAACACCGGUGGCGAAGGCGGGUCUCUGGGCAACAACUGACGCUGAGGAGCGAAAGCGUGGGGAGCGAACAGG